AUUUUUGGUUGUAUUUCGCUCUGAAAUCACAUUCAAGUGUUAUAUAUUUCUCUGCUCUGUGUGCAUGAGUGAUUUUGUAGCCACUGAUGAAUGAACUCAGUCUGUUACUGUCCUUCGCUCUGGGAGCUUCCAUGUGGACCGAGGGAGGAGGAGGAGAGGGAGAGGAAGAGGAGGAUACAGACAGCAACACAGAGGAGACCAGGAGCAUGGGAGGAGGGAAAGUAACUGAUGGAGAGAAAGCAAGAGAGAGAGAGAGAGAGAUGGAGUGAGCGGCUCUGAGCAACACUGAGAGCUCGGGAGGGAGGGAAGAUGCCAGACAAAAUAUGAAGUCGGGGAGAAAAUACCUGAACGCAAUUAAAAACGAGACUGAAAACAUUCUGAAACCAAGUUAGUCUAAAACAGGAGACGUUGAAGACAAAUUCACGAAGUCUUCCGGACAUUGAUUGUGGAUGCUGUGAUUCCCUUGGACGAUUUGUCAGAUGGGAUUUCAAUAUUUAAAGCCGGAGCAAAAUGGUACUCUCUCCUCCCAACGUCCUUCCUGCUCUCUUCUGAAACUAACUGCAUGGCUUUUUGGCCUCUGACCUUUGAACUUGUCCUGUUCUUCCUUUUACUUGAUUUGCUUUCCAGUUGAAGAGGACCAGUCUUCCAUUCUUGGACCAGGACGUCCAGUUAGCCGUUGCAAUACAGACGACGUCUUCGUAACUCAUUGAGACAGGCUCUGAAACUGAUUUUCACAGGGAUUGCAUUGUGAUAUCUUGGACGUGCACAAUCAAGACGAGCUGGACAACACUUCCAUCACCAGAUGAGGACAGCAGGACCAUCAAACUCAGUUGCAGUGAAAGAUUAAUGAACCUAGGCAUUUUUCAUGUUCUCUCUAUUUACAGCAAAAAUAACACCACCGUCAACCAGAUUCAUCAGUCAGCACUACCAACAAGCUGUAACUGGCUCUCUGAGGUUCUAGAAACAAUCUGAGCUUCAGUCUGAACGCUGAGGGACUGUUUAAGAAACAGAGGGAGGUAAUAAGAGUGACAGAACUGGACCAGACGGAAGAAAGGAGAAGGAACAGGGCCGUGUGGGGCUUCCACAAGUUCUUUCAGGUCCUGCAGGCAUGGAUGCAACACUGGAAUAGAAAACAGGACGGGAAGUUUCUGCUUUCCCACUGGUACAAUGUGUGCAGGCGUGGCUCCCCCUGGAGGUGGGGAUCAGUGAUAUUAAACAUGCUCCCCCAUGGCCAUCAUCACAGGUGUCGGGCCAUUGUGGAGGAGCCAGAGAACGAUCGAGAGGAGAGGAUUCUGGCAAUACUGGGGAUUAUCGGCACCGUGCUCAACCUGCUGGUAGUCAUCUUCGUCUACAUCUACACCACCUUUUAAGAUCUCAAGCUACAGGAUGCCCUCAUCUGACGGAAUGGCAAUAAAGCGGAGAAGAACAGAGGCAGGAAAAGACUGGCAUCAUUUUUCUUCACCAAAAACCAUCAAGCAGUGCCUGACCUAUUCAAUCAAUCUGGAAAAUGCAAGCAUUAAGUUCAAAGCUACACUGAGACCUUUUAGUUUCAGUUAGUCUAAAAGAUAGCUUACACGUCAUUAAUUAUUUGUAUAUCUGUUCAUUAUUCACAUGUUCAUUUUGUAUAGUCUUGAUUAUAAUUGCAUGUUCUCUGAUUUCUUACGUACACUAAGUAUUAUAUACGCUAUUUCAGAUGUGUGUGACUUUCACUUACAGCUGACCUGGGCACAUGCAGUCCAGAUGCGGAUCCAGAGCAGAGCAACAUUAAGGUCCAGAUUUUGAGGCUCUAAAAUCUGUUUUUGAACAUGCAGAGAUAGGCAAAAGGUUAUUGAAUUAGUUGUUUUUUUACUGCAUUGUCUCUAUAUAAAGCACAACAGAGCAGAAUGCCACAACAAUGUCUUGUUCUCAGGUGUUUAGCAGGUUAGUGGGAAAGUUUACUUGAAAAGUGAAGGCAGUCGGCCUCUUUGUUGCUGUCACGAUCAUAUAAUGAGACUGAUCUCAAUUGACACUUUCUACUCAAUGUGCUUUUUGCAACUAAAAACUUCAACCUGAUGAAAACAGUGUUGUGAUAGUUUUGUACAACAAAAAAUGGUUUGACUGUCGGAGUAAUAUGAAAUAAGAGAAAGAUGGGGUUGGAAACAUGCUUUUAAAACAUCAUAAGAAAUGGUUUUGACUGUUGAAAUGGGCUUUUAGCUUCUUCUGCAAUGUUUUGAAAGAAAAUAUUAAACUUUAAUAAACCUAAGAAGAAGAUGUAUCCAAUGUUUCUUAUAAUUAAAGGGACAGUUCACCCAGAAAUGACAAAUCUGUCAUCAUAUGACUUCCUCGGAGCUCAAAAGGAGAUGUUAGGGAGAAUGACAGACUCAGUCACUAUUCACUUUCAUUGUAUGGAUAAAAGAUGCAAUGGAAAUGAAUGGUGACUGACUUCCAUUCAGCUUAACAUCUACUUUUGUCUUCCACUGAAUAAAGAAAGUCAUACAGGUUUCAAUCAACAUGAGGGUGAGUAAAUGAUGAGGGGAGCACCGUCCCUUUAAAAUGACCAUGAAAUCAAAAUGAACCAUUCCUUUUUUUUCCCCUUCCAAUUAUUUUACGGAAUAUUGCAGUACUUAUUAUAAAUUAUUUAUCCAUGCACAUCAUCAUUAUUUAAUUUUUUUCUAAAUUCAGUCACAGUAGCAGUGUUAUUUUAGUUUCAUUGAAAUACUAUUAUAGUUUUUAUUAAUAUUUUGAAUAAUUUUUUAUUUUUGUUUUAGUCAUUUUUGUACAUCAAGUUAAAUUACAUUAACCCUUGUGCGACCUUAUUGACAUUUUUGUCUUUUUCAGGGUUUUUUUUUUUUUUUUUUUUUUUUGAUAAUUUUGCCUGUGUUAAUGCCAACUGCAUACAUUUUGGCACAGGUAUGUAUUUUUAUUAGAAUUUUACUAUUUCACCCCUAUUUCCUUUAAUAAAUCUAUUUUGCACCAGUAACACAAAAUGGUUCCUCUCAGGACCUGAAGGACAAAAAUGUCCCCUUUGAAACCCAUUAAAACUGCACUUUUUAAUCCCAGGGCCAUUUAACUAUAAAAUGAUGCAAUCUUUGUUAAGAGGCUUUCAUUCUGUUGGCAAGGCUUCAAAAAUUUAAAUUUUUACUCUUUUUUACCAGAUGGUGCCAUUUUCUCAGGUUUGGCCUAUAAAGCAAAUACUCACUUUGUUCCUAUUUUCUGCUUAUUAUAGAGCCAGUUUGAUGAAUUAAAGGGUUAGUUCACCCAGAAAUGAGCAGUGUUUUGAAAUCGGCCCAUCACUAGAUAUCGCUGAAAAGUCAUCAUUUAGUUUUUUUGGCACACAAAAAAAUUGCUCGUCGCUUUAUAAUAUUAAGAUUGAACCACUGAACUCACAUGAACUGAUUUAAAUAUGUUUUGAGUACCUUUCUGGAUCUUGAGAAGUUCAAUGACAUUGCUGUCUAUAGAGGCCUCACUGAGCCAUCAGAUUUAAUCAAAAAUAACCUAAUUUGUGUUCCGAAGAUGAACGAAGGUCUUACGGGUGUAGAACAACAUGAGGGUGAGUAAUAAAUGACAUUAUUUUCAUUUUUGGGUGAACUAACCCUUUAAGCAGCUAUAAUUGUGUGGGUGUGUUGUUAUGGAUGACAGAGUGUGGUCUGUAUGUGUGUAAUAAAUAAAAAAAAUUGUG
Ctenopharyngodon idella (grass carp) is the source of this 3658-nucleotide long non-coding RNA. RefSeq lists it as uncharacterized. Lineage: Eukaryota; Metazoa; Chordata; Actinopteri; Cypriniformes; Xenocyprididae. The transcript has 2 exons. The record is from RefSeq and is a predicted model, not a curated record.